UUAAUAAAAAUAGUUUUUUUAUUAUAACAUUAGAAGUAGAAAUAAUAAAGUAGUGUUAACGAAAUUAAUUAUAAACUAUAGAAAAUUAGUACUGUGAAGGAAAUAUUGAAAUAUUUGAAAAUUUUGUAUAAAAAAAGUACUUAUAAAUUAAGGUACCUUUUGUAUUAGUGGUUAUUAAAAUAAUAUUAUAAAAUUUUUUCUCGAAAAUAAAAGAUCUAGAUAAAUUUUAAAGUUCUUGUAUCAAAAAGAUUUUUUAAGUUUGUUUAGGUGUGAAAUUCUAAUCGCUUUUAUUAAUAUCUAGUAACUUCAGAAAUAAAUUUAGUUUAGAAUGUUUAGGAAUUCUUUAUUUUAAAGAAAUUCUAAAAUCAUUUUUAAGUUUUAGGGGAUGAGCUCUACAACUAUUAUAUAAGAAUAAAUUUCAUUAUUUUUUUCAUAGGCUUAGAAUUAGCCAUUAGAUAGUGUUAUAAAAUAUAACUUUAAGGUUAAGAUUUAUAUUUCUUUUUGUAUUAUGAAGUUAAUUUCAAAAUUUUUUUAGAAAUGAAAAUAUGAUAACAUUAGUAGAUAAAGAUAUUAAGAAUUAAUUUUAAAUUUUUCACAAUAUUUUAUACUUAUAAAUUUAAUAAAAGAACUCGGCAAAUAAAAUUUCCGAAUGUUUAACAAAAACAUUUCCUCCUGGCUUAGGAGGUAAGGCCUGCUCACUGAAUAUUUAAAGAGCCGCAGUAUCCUAACUGUGCUAAGGUAGCAUAAUCAUUAGUCUUUUAAUUGGGGACUGGUAUGAAUGGCUUAACGAGAAAUUGACUUUUUUUGUUAUAAAAAUCGAAUUUAAUUUUUUAGUGAAAAAGCUAAAAUUAUUCAGAAAGACGAGAAGACCCUAUAGAGUUUUAUGUUUUAGGAUAUUUUUUCUUAUUUGAUUUUUUAAGGUUAAAUAUUUAAGAACAUUUUGUUGGGGCGACAUUAAGAUAAAAAAAACUCUUUAUUUUUAAAAUUUUUAUAAAAAGAAAGUUUGAUCCUCUAUAAGAGAUCAAAAGAAAAAAUUACCUUAGGGAUAACAGCGUAAAUCUUUUUUGAGAGUUCUAAUCGACAAAAAGGUUUGCGACCUCGAUGUUGGACUAAAAUUUAGGCAGGGUGCAGCAGUUCUGCUUUUAGGUCUGUUCGACCUAUAAUAUUUUACACGAUCUGAGUUCAGACCGGCGUAAGCCAGGUUGGUUUCUAUCUUCUGAUUUUUGAUUUUUCAGCUUAGUACGAAAGGAUUGGUUGAUUAUAAUUUUUAUAAUAUAGAGGAGGAUUAAUAAAUUUAUUUAC
Molecule: ribosomal RNA, 1302 nt
Filed under: Balanus balanus
Lineage: Eukaryota; Metazoa; Arthropoda; Thecostraca; Balanomorpha; Balanidae
Description: 16S ribosomal RNA
Rfam family: Archaeal large subunit ribosomal RNA (bases 603-1302)
Source: RNAcentral